This 468-nucleotide ribosomal RNA is filed under the name Bradyrhizobium sp. dbr2. RNAcentral describes it as "bacterial LSU rRNA". It matches the Rfam family "Bacterial large subunit ribosomal RNA", at positions 61 to 491 of the family's 2925-position model. Lineage: Bacteria; Pseudomonadati; Pseudomonadota; Alphaproteobacteria; Hyphomicrobiales; Nitrobacteraceae. The record is from RNAcentral. RNAcentral also lists the same sequence under 2 other names.
CUACGCUGCGAUAAGCCGUGGGGAGCUGCGAAGAAGCUUUGAUCCGCGGAUUUCCGAAUGGGGAAACCCACCUUCGAUAGCCGGAACUCCAAGACCUUGUGUUUUGGGGUUCGACCAGAAAUGGAAGAAAUCAGACCGCGAGGUUUUGGAUUUCCGGUUAUCAAGAGAAGGUAUGAGACCUCCGAAUAAAAUAAGAGGUUUUAAGCAAACCCAGGGAACUGAAACAUCUAAGUACCUGGAGGAAAGGACAUCAAUCGAGACUCCGUUAGUAGUGGCGAGCGAACGCGGACCAGGCCAGUGAUACAUCAAAGACAAUCGGAACCUGUCAGGAAAGCAGGGCCUCAGAGGGUGAUAGCCCCGUACGAGUAAUGCGAUGAUGUAUCCACGAGUAAGGCGGGACACGUGUAAUCCUGUCUGAACACGGGGGGACCACCCUCCAAGCCUAAGUACUCCUCAGCGACCGAUAGC